GCAGGGUGCCCGCGCGAUGCUAGAUGGUGAACUCCGCCAGGCCCGGAAGGGAGCAACGGUAGCUGUUGAUGCAUGCGCCGCGUCAGUGCUCUGCAGG
Molecule: signal recognition particle RNA, 97 nt
Filed under: Permianibacter aggregans
Lineage: Bacteria; Pseudomonadati; Pseudomonadota; Gammaproteobacteria; Pseudomonadales; Pseudomonadaceae
Description: Bacterial small signal recognition particle RNA
Rfam family: Bacterial small signal recognition particle RNA
About the family: The signal recognition particle (SRP) is a universally conserved ribonucleoprotein involved in the co-translational targeting of proteins to membranes. Archaeal SRP consists of a 7S RNA and homologues of the eukaryotic SRP19 and SRP54 proteins. In most bacteria, the SRP consists of a 4.5S RNA and the Ffh protein (a homologue of the eukaryotic SRP54 protein).
Source: Rfam by way of RNAcentral